UGGUGGAGUGAUUUGUCUGGUUGAUUCCGAUAACGAACGAGACCUCAGCCUACUAACUAGUGCAGCGUAACCUUCUUUUGGGAUACGUCUCUUGCUUUGUGCACUUCUUAGAGGGACUAUCUGUGUCUAGCAGAUGGAAGUUUGAGGCAAUAACA
RNAcentral lists this ribosomal RNA (155 nucleotides) under uncultured eukaryote. Its description in RNAcentral is "partial 18S ribosomal RNA". It matches the Rfam family "Eukaryotic small subunit ribosomal RNA", at positions 1299 to 1458 of the family's 1831-position model. The record is from RNAcentral.